Small nucleolar RNA from Vitis vinifera (wine grape), 92 nucleotides. Lineage: Eukaryota; Viridiplantae; Streptophyta; Magnoliopsida; Vitales; Vitaceae. The record is from Rfam.
UAUUGGCGAUGAUGAAGAAAGGACAGCGUUAAAUGCCAGUUCUGCUUCAGAAAAUUCUUGAUUGAUAAGCUGUUAUUUACUCUGAGCCUCUC